RNAcentral lists this ribosomal RNA (238 nucleotides) under uncultured Actinomycetales bacterium. Its description in RNAcentral is "partial 16S ribosomal RNA". It matches the Rfam family "Bacterial small subunit ribosomal RNA", at positions 524 to 760 of the family's 1533-position model. Lineage: Bacteria; Bacillati; Actinomycetota; Actinomycetes; Actinomycetales. The record is from RNAcentral.
UACGUAGGGUGCAAGCGUUGUCCGGAAUUACUGGGCGUAAAGAGCUCGUAGGUGGUCUUGUCACGUCGUCUGUGAAAUUCCACAGCUUAACUGUGGGCGUGCAGGCGAUACGGGCUGACUUGAGUACUGUAGGGGUAACUGGAAUUCCUGGUGUAGCGGUGAAAUGCGCAGAUAUCAGGAGGAACACCGAUGGCGAAGGCAGGUUACUGGGCAGUCACUGACGCUGAGGAGCGAAAGC